RNAcentral lists this ribosomal RNA (1257 nucleotides) under metagenome. Its description in RNAcentral is "bacterial SSU rRNA". It matches the Rfam family "Bacterial small subunit ribosomal RNA", at positions 242 to 1520 of the family's 1533-position model. The record is from RNAcentral.
UAGCUAGUUGGUGAGGUAACGGCUCACCAAGGCGAUGAUCAGUAGCUGGUCUGAGAGGAUGGUCAGCCAGAUGGGGACUGAGAUACGGCCCCAACUCCUACGGGAGGCAGCAGCAAGGAAUAUUGGGCAAUGGGCGAAAGCCUGACCCAGCGACACCGCGUGAGGGAUUAAGGCCUUCGGGUUGUAAACCUCUUUUCUCGAGGAAGAAGUUCUGACGGUACUCGAGGAAUAAGCCACGGCUAACUACGUGCCAGCAGCCGCGGUAAUACGUAGGUGGCGAACGUUAUCCGGAUUUAUUGGGCGUAAAGAGAGUGUAGGCGGCUUGUUAAGUCGAGUGUUAAAUCUUCUGACUCAAUCAGGAGCUGCAUUCGAUACUGGUAGGCUUGAGGGCAGCAGAGGAAAACGGAAUUCCCAGUGUAGCGGUGAAAUGCGUUGAUAUUGGGAAGAACACCAGAGGCGAAGGCGGUUUUCCAGGCUGUAUCUGACGCUGAGACUCGAAGCGUGGGGAGCGAAGCGGAUUAGAUACCCGCGUAGUCCACGCCUUAAACGGUGAACAUUAGGUAUGGGAAGUAUCGACCCUUUCUGUGUCGUAGCUAACGCUUUAAAUGUUCCGCCUGGGGAGUACGGUCGCAAGGCUAAAACUCAAAGGAAUUGACGGGGGUCCGCACAAGCAGCGGAGCGUGUGGUUUAAUUCGAUGAUACACGAAGAACCUUACCAGGGUUUGACAUGUCAGAAGUAGGAAACCGAAAGGUAGACGACCUGUAUCCAGUCAGGAACUGUCACAGGUGCUGCAUGGCUGUCGUCAGCUCGUGCCGUGAGGUGUUGGGUUAAGUCCCGCAACGAGCGCAACCCUUGUUCUAUGUUAAUUUCUCAUAGAAGACUGCCUUGUACAGCAAGGAGGAAGAAGAGGAUGACGUCAAGUCAGCAUGGCCUUUAUGCCCUGGGCUACACACACGCUACAAUGGGUAAUACAGAGGGUUGCCAAAGAGUGAUCUGGAGCCAAUCCCUUAAAAUUAUCCUCAGUUCGGAUUGUAGGCUGAAAUCGCCUACAUGAAGUCGGAGUUGCUAGUAAUCGCAGGUCAGCUAUACUGCGGUGAAUACGUACUCGGACCUUGUACACACCGCCCGUCACGUCGUGGAAGUCGGAAACACUUGAAGCCAAUGUGUUAACUUGUUUUCAAGAAAUAGUUGUCGAAGGUGGAGCUGAUAACUGUGGCGAAGUCGUAACAAGGCAGCCGUACGGGAACGUGUGGCUG